This is a long non-coding RNA of Camelina sativa (false flax), 638 nucleotides long. RefSeq lists it as uncharacterized. The record is from RefSeq and is a predicted model, not a curated record. Lineage: Eukaryota; Viridiplantae; Streptophyta; Magnoliopsida; Brassicales; Brassicaceae.
UCUCUCUCGAGUUUUAGUUUCUUCACAAUGUCUAUUAGUUAGGUCUAAGCUAUAGAUUCAACAAAACGGUUCUCUAAAAGAAGUUUUGAGAUUGAUGGUAGAAGAGUGUUGGUGGUGUAGAGAAGUAGAACCCUAGCUGAGCUGCGAGAGAAAAACCAAAGACAUAUAUGUUCUUCAGCUUAAGCUGGUUCACUAACACAAAUGAUAAUCUUAUGAAAUGUCCACCCAAGCCAGAAGUUGACUCUCCUGUAUGAUGCACCUAAUUCUGUUUCGACUAGGCACCGAAAAGGGAGAGGAUUCAUUCAUAAACCCUCAAGGUGUUGAAAAGGCUGCUGAGGACUUACAGAAAUGUAAUCCACCAUUUAUGUUUUAUUGAGGACAGACCAAGAGAGAAUAAACAUCUCAGAGACUGGGACGGAGGAAGCAGAGACAAGACAACAGACAUGACCGUGACCAUGCUACAAGGGAUCAUGGAGGGAGCAAGAUUAUGAAGGAUUAGCAUGGUGGGCGGCGACCGAAGGCCAGACAGAGAUGACAAGAGAGAAAAUGAUAUAAAAUACCGACCAAGUAAAUUGGUUCUUUGUACAAAACAGAUUGUAAAGUUGUGAUCUUCUCUUAAUAAUUUCUUUCGCUGUCUA